UACGUAGGCAGCAAGCGUUGUUCGGAGUUACUGGGCGUAAAGGGUGCGUAGGCGGCUUUUUAAGUCUGGUGUGAAAUCUCCCGGCUCAACUGGGAGGGUGCGCCGGAUACUGAGGGGCUAGAGUGUGGGAGAGGAAAGUGGAAUUCCUGGUGUAGCGGUGAAAUGCGUAGAUAUCAGGAGGAACACCGGUGGUGUAAACGGCUUUCUGGACCAUAACUGACGCUGAGGCACGAAAGCGUAGGUAGCAAACAGG
This 253-nucleotide ribosomal RNA is filed under the name uncultured bacterium. RNAcentral describes it as "partial 16S ribosomal RNA". It matches the Rfam family "Bacterial small subunit ribosomal RNA", at positions 524 to 776 of the family's 1533-position model. The record is from RNAcentral.